Molecule: ribosomal RNA, 253 nt
Filed under: uncultured bacterium
Lineage: Bacteria
Description: partial 16S ribosomal RNA
Rfam family: Bacterial small subunit ribosomal RNA
Source: RNAcentral
UACGAAGGGGGCUAGCGUUGUUCGGAAUCACUGGGCGUAAGGCGCACGUAGGCGGAUGUGCCAGUCAGGGGUGAAAUCCCGGAGCUCAACUCCGGAACUGCCUCUGAUACAGCACGUCUUGAGUUCGAGAGAGGUGGGUGGAAUUCCUAGUGUAGAGGUGAAAUUCGUAGAUAUUAGGAAGAACACCGGUGGCGAAGGCGGCCCACUGGCUCGAUACUGACGCUGAGGUGCGAAAGCGUGGGGAGCAAACAGG